This 319-nucleotide long non-coding RNA is filed under the name Solanum tuberosum (potato). Its description in RNAcentral is "long non-coding RNA (STUB_LNC010011)". Lineage: Eukaryota; Viridiplantae; Streptophyta; Magnoliopsida; Solanales; Solanaceae. The record is from RNAcentral.
UGGAGGAUAAGAAUAACCCUGUGGUGGAUAAGGCUGAGGCGGAUAUGCAGCUGAUGAGUAAGGUGAAGGAUAAGCAGCCGAUUGAGGGGGAUAAGGAGAUGCUGUAUGAUAUGCUGCUGAAGGGGGUGGGACUGUGGGAUAAGGAGAAGCUGGAUAAUAUGCUGAAGGAGGCGGGGCUGUGGAAUAAGGAGAUGGUGCUGGAUAGCCAGAAGGUGGUGGGUGAGAAGCUACAUGUGGUGGAGCUACUGAAUAUGGAUAUGAUCCAGGAGUUGGUGUUACAUAUGGAGGGCCUGAUUGAGCAUGGCUUGUUGCUGGCUUC